This 82-nucleotide transfer RNA is filed under the name Dermacentor andersoni. RNAcentral describes it as "transfer RNA tryptophan (anticodon CCA)". It matches the Rfam family "tRNA". From Rfam's summary of the family: Transfer RNA (tRNA) molecules are approximately 80 nucleotides in length. Their secondary structure includes four short double-helical elements and three loops (D, anti-codon, and T loops). The record is from RNAcentral. Lineage: Eukaryota; Metazoa; Arthropoda; Arachnida; Ixodida; Ixodidae.
GCAAUCGUGGCCGAGUGGUUAAGGCGAUGGACCCCAAAUCCAUUGGGGUCUCCCCGCACAGGUUCGAAUCCUGUCGGCUGCG